AUUCUGCCCAUGCGGGGAAGGAUGAGAAGCUUCGACUAAGGUUCGGCUCGAGCGUCAGCGAGAGAGCGUUGCCGCAGGCAACGACCCGAAGGGCGAAGCGCGCAGCGCUGAGUAAUCCUUCCCCCACAACCA
Molecule: small RNA, 132 nt
Filed under: Escherichia coli
Lineage: Bacteria; Pseudomonadati; Pseudomonadota; Gammaproteobacteria; Enterobacterales; Enterobacteriaceae
Description: RtT sRNA
Rfam family: RtT RNA
About the family: This family represents a bacterial cis-regulatory element known as RtT RNA.
Source: RNAcentral